RNAcentral lists this ribosomal RNA (330 nucleotides) under uncultured bacterium. RNAcentral describes it as "bacterial SSU rRNA". It matches the Rfam family "Bacterial small subunit ribosomal RNA", at positions 568 to 898 of the family's 1533-position model. The record is from RNAcentral.
CGUGUAGGCGGUAUCAUAAGUCAGAUGUGAAAGCCCUAGGCUUAACCUAGGAGGUGCAUUUGAUACUAUGGAACUAGAGAUCGAGAGAGGAAAGUGGAAUUACGAGUGUAGAGGUGAAAUUCGUAGAUAUUCGUAAGAACACCAGUGGCGAAGGCGACUCUCUGGCUCGAUACUGACGCUAAGGCGCGAAAGCGUGGGGAGCAAACAGGAUUAGAUACCCUGGUAGUCCACGCUGUAAACGAUGAGUGCUAGAUGUUGGUGGAGGAAUUCAUCAGUGUCGCAGCUAACGCAUUAAGCACUCCGCCUGGGGAGUACGGUCGCAAGAUUAAA